Molecule: long non-coding RNA, 365 nt
Filed under: Vitis vinifera (wine grape)
Lineage: Eukaryota; Viridiplantae; Streptophyta; Magnoliopsida; Vitales; Vitaceae
Description: long non-coding RNA (VVIN_LNC002765)
Source: RNAcentral
GCAUCAGACCCAUACACGUCCCACUGUCCAGUGGUGUUGCCCAAAUCCUCCAAAUCAAAGUACACACUCUUGUCACCGUACUUUGCCACCACAGCACCAGCCCUGCAAUUCAAUACAGAAGAUUCCAAAGACUAGCCCAAGUUCAUACCUCCCUCAAACAAUGAAUGCAUUCAGUUUUUUGUUUUUACCUUGAGUUACCCACUCUCAAACUUCGGCGAGCUGGCUUGACGGAGAGCUUAGUUCCGGAAAUGGAGCUGCCGGCAAGGCCCUUGAUGUUGAUAGGUUGUACUGCAGCUAAGGUUGCUAGAGAAGCCAUGGCCUUUGCUCUGCUCCAAACUCAGUUCCUUCUUCCUCGGUUGGCUGGC